Molecule: ribosomal RNA, 654 nt
Filed under: Ochromonas sp. CCMP1393
Lineage: Eukaryota; Chrysophyceae; Chromulinales; Chromulinaceae
Description: partial Bacterial large subunit ribosomal RNA
Rfam family: Bacterial large subunit ribosomal RNA
Source: RNAcentral
AGUUUAACUGGGGCGGUUGCCUCCCAAAAUGUAACGGAGGCGCCCAAAGGUUCCCUCAGCCUGGUUGGCAAUCAGGUGUUGAGUGUAAGUGCACAAGGGAGCUUGACUGUGAGACUGACAGGUCGAGCAGGGACGAAAGUCGGGACUAGUGAUCCGGCACUGGCUUGUGGAAGCGGUGUCGCUCAACGGAUAAAAGGUACCCCGGGGAUAACAGGCUGAUCUUCCCCAAGAGUCCAUAUCGACGGGAUGGUUUGGCACCUCGAUGUCGGCUCGUCGCAUCCUGGGGCUGGAGUAGGUCCCAAGGGUUGGGCUGUUCGCCCAUUAAAGCGGCACGCGAGCUGGGUUUAGAACGUCGUGAGACAGUUCGGUCCCUAUCUGGUGUGGGCGUUGGAUGAUUGAUGGGAGCUGCUCCUAGUACGAGAGGACCGGAGUGGACGAACCGCUGGUGUUCGGGUUGUCAUGCCAAUGGCACUGCCCGGUAGCUAAAUGCGGAAGAGAUAAGUGCUGAAAGCAUCUAAGCACGAAACUUGCCCCGAGAUGAGUUCUCCCUGACUCCUUGAGAGUCCUGAAGGAACGUUGAAGACGACGACGUUGAUAGGCCGGGUGUGUAAGCGCAGCGAUGCGUUGAGCUAACCGGUACUAAUGAACCGUGAG